Molecule: long non-coding RNA, 2648 nt
Filed under: Eutrema salsugineum
Lineage: Eukaryota; Viridiplantae; Streptophyta; Magnoliopsida; Brassicales; Brassicaceae
Description: long non-coding RNA (ESAL_LNC001838)
Source: RNAcentral
AAAUCUACUCUAAUAAAAGUAGGCUCUGAGUGUGUCCACCUCAGCUUUUAGAAAUUCAGGAGAGGAUGCCACAUUCAUGAAACUCACGAUUCAUGAUCAGCUUUGAUAAAACCUUUGAUAAUAAAAAAACAUUUGAUCUUCUCCUCAAUCUAAACUCAAACCAUAUGUCAUUAUAAAUCUUCCACACAUAAAUUGGAUGCUCAACGUCACAAAACGUUUGUAGAUCAUCACGAUACACCUACGAAAACACUUUCUCUCCCCCUUAGAUUUUGAUAGCUCCAAACACCAUAUUAGACCAAUAUACUUCCCAUAUCAAAAAUUAGGAAACGUCUCAUAAUUCCUUUUUCAAAUGCAGGAUGACUAAAAGGAUCUCACAUAUGUGAUUACCUGCUAUCCAUCAGCGCUUCAUCUUCAAUCUCGAUCUACUUUCCAUUUAACGAAGAUUGGUUCUUUUUGCAAUCGUUUCGUUUUAGCACACGGAGAAGGAGGGGAUGCAAAGAGUCGGUGAAUCUGCAAACCAACAUGCAGGAGAGACCAAACAGAGGUAUGCCUAUGGAGUUCACUAUAGUUAACUAUCCAUCCAUCUGUCUUUCCAUUGUUUUCAACGAUAAUAACUCAUUCUCAAGUAAUUCAAUGUGGCGUUCGCCAAAAAAGGCGGAUUGCAGAAUAGUCCCUUCAGAUUCAAGAGGGUGACAUUAAGUAAGACUGCUCUCACUGGAUUUUGAGCCAAAUCUCUAUAUGAUGCAAAAUAUUGGAUACUUGAAAAUAUCCACGCUGUAAGACACUGUAUCAGAAAACCUCGAAGAAGCGAUGGGUGUUUUUGGGUUACAAGGAAAAACAUGAAAAUUGGGUAUUUUUUUCAUAUUUAAAUUACAGUUGGAUUUUAGCACUGAUGUAUGAAGAUAAUUUGUUUUAUGUAUGCAGAGAACGUUUAAUUGUACAAUUUUGCGUAGGACAGUUGCAAAAUAACUGAAAAGAAGCAGUGAUGGCUUAUGCACACUAAAGUCAAUGCUAGGAAUCCUAAUAACUUCUUCAUUCUGCAGUCCUCUACUAUUUCAUUGUAAUUUUCUCUUUGACUUUUUCCCUUCGCACAAUAAAGAGACGAUAGCUCUAAUGUCCUAGCCCUUAUUAUUCUUAUCACCAUGGCAGAGGCGAUGGUCCUAAUAGACUUCACUGGCAUCCCUGAAUAAAGGACUAAUGGACUAUCGUGGUUGUGGAAUAUUAGACCAUGUUCAAUAGUAGCAACUCUAAAAAAGGUGCUUAAAUAUUAUUUAAUUAUUAAAUUUAAAAUCAUCUUUAUUUUAUAACAUAUAUCUGCUAGUAUCUGUUAAGCAUCGCUGCUUACAACUCUUAUUUAAGCAUUAAUGCUCAAAUUAUUCUAUUUUUAUGAUUUAAUUUUUUAAAAAAAUUAUCUAAGCACUCUUCCUAAACAUCUGCAUUAAACAUGCUCUUAUGUUCUCAAACUCCAUACAUUGUCCACUCUGUAAGUUAACCUACUACUAUUUAUGCUUCGUUAAACUAAUUUCUGUAUAAGUCAAACAUAUUGUAACGUUUAGCUCAUUUUAAUUACUAAAUAGUUGUUAUUGGAUAGGUAAAGCCUCUGCAAGUUUAAGCCCAAACCUGGCCUUGAGAGCAGGCGAGGGAGGCGACCGCCGCGGGCAUCCACUAUAAAAGGACAUAUUUUUUGCGGCAUCUACUCUAAAAGAGCAUAUUUUUUGUUAAAAAAAAAAUAUUAGAGAUUAAACUCUAGUUUACCUCAAGUCCAGGUUUGAACCAUUCCAAAAGUAUAAACAAACUUUUGGGUUUUUGUUUGAUAUAAAAAAACUAAUAUCGGCCAUCAAUGAUAGUUUGAAGAAAACCGACUAAAGAAAACCUAAAUCUAGCACAAUAAGGAAACCGUACCCAUUAGAUAAAAGAAAACUUAAAUCUAACCCAAUAAGAAAAUCGUACCCUGGGGGCUUCGCCCCCCACACCCCCCCCCAAGUGAAUCCGCGUCCAUCUAUAGUCUGUUACAUUCCUCAACUUGCUCUAGCAGAAUCUCUUUAAUUAUCUUUAUCAUCAGAAACAACAAAAUGAGUUUGCUUUGUUAUCAAUUGAGACAGUUAUGGUUGAAAAACUCGACUACGACAGUUUAAUGAAUGAUUUUACACGGAAAAAUGCAAGAAGAUCUAUAUUUCAGUAAUAAAACUAUUAUGUUUUAUUGAAUCUUUUUAUUUUCUUACAAAUCGUUUAUGGAGUUUAAUUGUUUUAUAAAGUUUUUGUUUUAUUUUUUUAUUAUUUUAAUUUUGAAAAAUAUAUAAAAGGGCAUAUUUAAAAAAGUUAGAUGCGGGCUUCCAAAUUGAUCGGUCCGGCACUGUUUAAGCCUCUGUCGUUUGUCAAGUCACUUGUGACAUACUAGCAGGAAAAUAAUGUUAAGGUUAUCAUAAUUAAGAGUCCUCCUAAUUCACAUGCUUCUCUGUUUUUUGGCUUCAAAAUCAGGUUGUGCAAGGUUUAUAUGACUGUUUGAAUAGAUUAUGAAUCUAUUCAUUUGUGGGCCACUUGAGGUUGAAUUUUCAAUUUUGUGGACACACCAAGUAUCGCCAAUUCCUCAUUCAAGGAAAUAACCUGCUUCUUAAAAAAUAGCAAAAAAUGUGUCAACACAUGGCUAG